AUCCUCGACCGGAUAUGGAGAAAUGGGGCCGCCAGAUGGAACGCCGCGCCACAAGGUAGAAUCGAUAGCAAGCGGAACCCGUUCCUUAUGCUGUCACACCUUGGGAACGCGGGCAACGCAGGUGCGCGCCCCGGGGCCGGGCGAAAACGGCCC
Non-coding RNA from Eggerthella lenta DSM 2243, 153 nucleotides. The record is from Rfam. NCBI's taxonomy places the organism in Bacteria, Bacillati, Actinomycetota, Coriobacteriia, Eggerthellales, Eggerthellaceae.